AUGAGUGACUCGCAGAUCGCCGCCGACGCCGGAAGCGACCGCCUGAGCAACCUCCGCGACGGCGUAAUCGGUCACAUCCUCUCCUUCCUCGAAACCAGGGAGGCCGCUCGCGCCGCGACGCUCUCGUCGCGGUGGCGCCACGUCAUGGCCAGCGUCCACACCGUCUCCAUGUCCAUGGAGCUGCCGGAGCGGCCCGCCUUGGGCUACGGCUACGAUGGCCGGUACGACCGCAACAAGGUGCGGCCAUUCAUCGCCGACGUCACCGCCGCCCUCCUCUCCCGCAACCGUCGCCCGUCCCCCGCCGCCGCCGCGGUGCCCCUGCGCGCGCUCCGCGUAUCCAUGGAAAGAUACUGCCCCGACGAGAGGUCCAAGGUGGACCAGUGGGUCUCCUACGCCCUGUGGCAUGCCGCCCCAGAGUUCGAGCUCGACCUCCGCCUUGGCCGCGGCCCCAUCUGCAGUGGCCCCGGCAGCCUCCACCGCUUCCAUGACGAUGUCGCCGCCGAUAGCCUUGUUGGGGAUCAAGCCGUCGCCGGGAAUCCUCCGAUGUCUGACCCCGAGGUCCCCGACGACAACCGUUCCCUCCGUGCGCACCCUGAAGACGAUGUCCCGUCCAGCGACGAUGAGGAGACGGCAGCUCGGUCGUGGAAUCCUCCGCCGUCUGGAGAGUACACCUACACCGUCCCGAGAGGACUCUUCUCUUGCGCCGCGCUGCGAUCGCUCCGUCUAGGCUACUGCAGGCUCUCCCCGCCGGCAGCCGUCAGCCUGCCAGCUCUCGAGGCCCUCCACCUCACCCACAUCCACGGAGACGAGGAGGAGCAUGUGCAGAGGCUGAUCUCCGGCUGUCCGCGCCUGGCCGACCUGACGCUCGAGGCUUGCGGCACGGUGACCGCGCUAUCCCUCCUCAACAACCCACACCUCCGCAGGCUCGCCCUCCGGUGCUGCCACAACCUAUCCAGCCUUGCCGUCGACACGCCGGAGCUCGACUCCUUCGAGUACCGUGGCGCCGUCCCCGACAGCUCGGUCCUCACCGUGGACGGACCUUCCGUCCGUCACGUCGUGCAAGGUCGACAUCUGCACGACGAUCCGCCCCCUCGAGGAGGCGGGGGAGCGCGUCAAGCUGGGUUCGUUCCUGCAUCAGCUGGCCUCGACCGCGAAACACCUCCAGUUAUGCUCCGCUCGCAUGGGCUCGUGGUUCGUGGAUCUCCCCCUGCUCCCCGCCCUUCGUCAUCGCCACGACGAGCACCAUCCUCCGGCGAGCCCCGAACCUGGAGCUACUGA
RNAcentral lists this ribosomal RNA (1278 nucleotides) under Triticum aestivum (bread wheat). RNAcentral describes it as "partial small subunit ribosomal RNA". The record is from RNAcentral. Lineage: Eukaryota; Viridiplantae; Streptophyta; Magnoliopsida; Poales; Poaceae.